Molecule: ribosomal RNA, 200 nt
Filed under: uncultured bacterium
Lineage: Bacteria
Description: partial 16S ribosomal RNA
Rfam family: Bacterial small subunit ribosomal RNA
Source: RNAcentral
CAGGCUGCAACUCGCCUGCACGAAGUUGGAAUUGCUAGUAAUCGUGGAUCAGCAUGCCACGGUGAAUACGUUCCCGGGUCUUGUACACACCGCCCGUCACACCAUGGGAGCCGGUAAUACCCGAAGUCAGUAGUCUAACCGCAAGGAGGACGCUGCCGAAGGUAGGAUUGGCGACUGGGGUGAAGUCGUAACAAGGUACC